This 528-nucleotide long non-coding RNA is filed under the name Fragaria vesca (wild strawberry). Its description in RNAcentral is "long non-coding RNA (FVES_LNC002154)". The record is from RNAcentral. Lineage: Eukaryota; Viridiplantae; Streptophyta; Magnoliopsida; Rosales; Rosaceae.
CAAGACAUCGAGGUCAAGAUGGAAGUUGAAUUGUAGAUGUGGGAUAGCUCAUCAGCUUGUGUUGUUACACUUCCAAUGUUUGGUUGGAACACAACUCAGGUAAUGACACCAGCUGCAGUGCUCGUUUCCAUUCUCUCCUCUGAACAGCAUCACCAAUCCCACAGUAUACCUGCAAUUACCAAAAGAAUUUGAACUGUUAGUUCUGUACAAGAAAUCACAUUUAUGGUAAUGUGAAUGCUACAACAUGCGAGACACUUGACUAUAGCAUGGUGGUACAUCCGUGGAUCUAUCCUGGAUUAGAGGUCUGACAACACUGUUGUAAGCCAUCUAAUUCACCAACCAGGACUCAUGCAAAUAAGGCCCAGAUAUGUCCAUUCAAGGUUCAAGUCAUUAAAGCACUGCGACAAGCUUACCAAACAAUCACCAAGGCAAGCGCAAGCACACAAAGAACCACUUGAUAAGCCUUGUACUUAGAUUUGACACGAGCACCAGCUGGUAGAUUCCGACUCUCCAUCCAUCCAAACUGGG